Molecule: long non-coding RNA, 256 nt
Filed under: Hordeum vulgare
Lineage: Eukaryota; Viridiplantae; Streptophyta; Magnoliopsida; Poales; Poaceae
Description: long non-coding RNA (HVUL_LNC007449)
Source: RNAcentral
GGAAAAGGAGUUUAAAAGCAAGAGCUUAAAAGACUAGCACUCCUCUUGCAUCACACACCAUUAUCACAUGCUCACAAGGUAGUGCAAAACCACCACUUAAUCUUAGCAAGAUCACAUGCACUCACAACACCACAACACUACUCCUAUCAAACUCAAAUGCAACAUGAUCAUGGCAUGCAAUCAUAAGUAUGGCAAGGAAUGAUAUGUAAUUCAUGCAUGCAAGGGAAGUAAACACCAGGGAACACACAUGAAUUCA